UCAUAAAAUAUGCUCAAAUCCUAAUUACAGCUUCUCAUGUUGCAAUGGAUAAAUGGGUAUGAAUCAUGCUUGUUAAAUAUUGAACCUCAAAACUAAGAAGAAAUUGAUUUUUUUAACAUUUUUAAAUUUUGGUCCUUCAAUGGACUUUUGCAUCGCUGCCAACCCUUGACCUUUUAAAUAACCACUAUGCAAGCAAAUUAUGGUUAAGUGUCUGAAAUGUUGUUUCGUCUAUUUUAGCCAACCCAAAGGAGCUAACAAAUAAAUCAUCAGUCCUCAAACGAAUCAACCAGUGAAGGAGAAAAACAUUCAAAGCCGUAAAUUGUCAAAUCCAUCAGUUGGAAGAUGGAUGUCAAAGUCUUAGACAACGAAAGGCUUCCAGAGUUAAGAAAAGACCACUUCAACAAAAACAAUCAUGCAAAGAAUGACUGCAAAAAAUCUUUUCGCAGAUGCGUUUCAUCAUCAAGUGUAUAAGGAAAAGGGACCUGGGUACAGAGACUAGAUGUAAAUGUCAAGGACUGAAAUGAGCAAUUCAAUGGUUUCUUACUAAUUGUGUUUAUAUGCGUCAUAAGAAAUUAAAACUGUUAUAAAUGGA
Molecule: long non-coding RNA, 592 nt
Organism: Mya arenaria
Lineage: Eukaryota; Metazoa; Mollusca; Bivalvia; Myida; Myidae
Exons: 2
Source: RefSeq, a predicted model, not a curated record